This 357-nucleotide ribosomal RNA is filed under the name Triticum aestivum (bread wheat). RNAcentral's name for it is "partial small subunit ribosomal RNA". Lineage: Eukaryota; Viridiplantae; Streptophyta; Magnoliopsida; Poales; Poaceae. The record is from RNAcentral.
AUGUACAUUAGUGCUAAGCGGAACGGCUCACAACCGCAAGUCAUCGGACGAAGGCGAAGAUCCAUGGAGAAGGCCAAAAGGGGCAUAGCCAAAGCGGUGGUCAGGGAUUGGACCGAGACCACGGCCGCCGCCACUGAGAAGAACAGGCUACCUCACACCGUCACCACGCCACCAGCAGCUCCACCCCACACGAGCAAUCCCCGGAAGACGCCUUCAAGGAGCACGGCACCGGAUGCCGCCAUCGACCAUGCAAGGGGAGGGCAGGUCUUCACCUGUGCUCGAGGGAAAGGUGGGAGGGGAGAACCACACCAAAGCCUCCAGGAAGGACCACGGCGCCGAAGACGUCGCCUUUGGUGA